CCUACGGGAGGCAGCAGUGGGGAAUAUUGCACAAUGGGGGAAACCCUGAUGCAGCGACGCCGCGUGAGUGAAGAAGUACUUCGGGAUGUAAAGCUCUAUUAGUAGGGAAGAAAAUGACGGUACCUGAUUAUUAAGCCAUGGCCAACUACGUGCCAGCAGCCGCGGUCAUACGCAGGGGGCAAGCGUUAUCCGGAGUGUCUGGGGGUAAAGGGAGCGUAGACGGCUGCGCAAGUCUGAGGUGAAAUGUCGGGGCUUAACCCCGGAACUGCAUUGGAAACUGGGCAGCUAGAGUGCAUGAGAGGUAAGUGGAAUUCCUGGUGUAGCGGUGAAAUGCGUAGAGAUAAGGAAGAACACCAGUGGCGAAGGCGGCUUACUGGACUGUAACUGACGUUGAGGCUCGAAAGCGUGGGGAGCAAACAGGAUUAGAUACCCGGGUAGUC
Molecule: ribosomal RNA, 440 nt
Filed under: uncultured bacterium
Lineage: Bacteria
Description: partial 16S ribosomal RNA
Rfam family: Bacterial small subunit ribosomal RNA
Source: RNAcentral